AAUAUCUCAUCAACGGGUCCAAGGAGGUCAAUCCCAGGCUUCAAUUCUACUUCAGGAUUAUCCGUCUCUGCUUCCGUCGAAACGAAAGCGAUGAAUUUUCCUUUUGGAGCAACGUUGUGUGCGUAUGAGCAACAGAAGAGGAUAACCUGAGCUGAAUGAGAAUCAUUGGUGUCUGGGAUUGGAUGACUCAUUAUACAAACUGCACGAGCUACCUUUCCAACCUUUUUAACCUGUUGAAUAUUCAAUAGAAAAGGAUCGGCAGAUGAAAAUAUAUAAGCAAUUUUGCAUAUGAGGAUCAGUCGUUGGCCUUCUGGUUAAUGGUUCUCUUAACCGUGGAAGUUGAUUCAGCCCAAUAACUCAUAGUUUAGUACUUUUUCGAUGUCAAGAGUUACCUUGUCUGGCAGAUACGAUGGGUCACAAACAACUUUUUUGCAUUUAGCAGUUUCUCCUUCGGAAGUCACACCAUAAGCUUUACCAUCACCAGCAAACUCAACCUGUUAUUCGAAAAUCAAUUAGUCUCAAAAGAACUGAAUGCUGGAUGUUCAGAAGGAACUAAUUUCUUCGCUAGCAACAAUAUAAUAGAAAGAGAAAAAUCAAGAAAGUAGUAUAGAUAAACUUUUUUGUGAACAACAUUAAGGUAGUGAAUGAAUUGUCACAUUAAAGCAAAUAACAGAAGUGUCGGUGGAUGACUUGGCACUACGUUAAACUUCAAAGGCUAAGUUUCAUUAUAAACUUACCAUGCUUUAAUUCA
Cucumis sativus (cucumber) is the source of this 751-nucleotide long non-coding RNA. RefSeq lists it as uncharacterized. NCBI's taxonomy places the organism in Eukaryota, Viridiplantae, Streptophyta, Magnoliopsida, Cucurbitales, Cucurbitaceae. The record is from RefSeq and is a predicted model, not a curated record. The transcript has 2 exons.